Molecule: small nucleolar RNA, 108 nt
Organism: Hippocampus comes (tiger tail seahorse)
Lineage: Eukaryota; Metazoa; Chordata; Actinopteri; Syngnathiformes; Syngnathidae
Product: small nucleolar RNA, C/D box 46
Source: Ensembl
CACGUGAGUGAUGAAAACUGGACCUUAGGUAGGUCUUAUUUGUACUGUUUUGGUGCAAAGCUUGGGACCUACCCGUGCUAGGCCUUGUCAUAGUUACACUGACACACG